ACACACACACACACACACACACACACACACACACACACACACACACACACACACACACACACACUUUCAGUCUGCAGAUACUGACAAAAGGUUUGAAGGUUUCAAAAUGUGUUAAACCUCAUUUUGGGUCCAAGUGGAAUCUUUUUAACUCAUCGUAAAGAAGUCCACAGUUUAAAUCAAACUUUAUUUAAUGACCUCAGUGGUGCAAUGAAUCUAAAGUAAGCACAUGUCAAAACUCAGUCAAUGUUUGAGCAUCGACCCUCUUUGCCGGAGCACCAUGACAUCACACUCUACGGGAACAACUGUAGAAAAUUAACCCAAAAUAUUUUUAGGUGAAAAGUCUGUUAAGUAACAGUUAAAUGUUGAGCUGCACCGAAAAAAGCACCAUUUAGGAGAUAUGACACUAUCACAAUUUUUGCAUUUACAAGUGUGCAAGACGGUUCCUGGUUAAAACCCAGGGUGAGGGAGCCCUUCUGUGCAGAGUUUGCAUGUUCUCCCUGUGUCAGCGUGGGUUUCCUCCAGGUGCUCUGACAUGUUCUAUUCGUGUCAGCGUGGGUUUCCUCCAGGUGCUCUGACAUGUUCUCCCCGUGUCAGCGUGGGUUUCCUCCAGGUGCUCUGACAUGUUCUCCCUGUGUCAGCGUGGGUUUCCUCCAGGUGCUCUGACAUGUUCUCCCCGUGUCAGCGUGGGUUUCCUCCAGGUGCUCUGACAUGUUCUCCCUGUGUCAGCGUGGGUUUCCUCCAGGUGCUCUGACAUGUUCUCCCCGUGUCAGCGUGGGUUUCCUCCAGGUGCUCUGACAUGUUCUCCCCGUGUUAGCGUGGGUUUCCUCCAGGUGCUCUGACAUGUUCUCCCCGUGUCAGCGUGGGUUUCCUCCAGGUGCUCUGACAUGUUCUCCCUGUGUCAGCGUGGGUUUGCUCCAGGUGCUCUGACAUGUUCUCCCCGUGUCAGCGUGGGUUUCCUCCAGGUGCUCUGACAUGUUCUCCCUGUGUCAGCGUGGGUUUCCUCCAGGUGCUCUGACAUGUUCUCCCCGUGUCAGCGUGGGUUUCCUCCAGGUGCUCUGACAUGUUCUCCCUGUGUCAGUGUGGGUUUCCUCCUGGUGCUCCGACACGUUCUCCCUGUGUCAGCGUGGGUUUCCUCCAGGUGCUCCCACAUGUUCUCCCUGUGUCAGUGUGGGUUUCCUCCAGGUGCUCUGACAUGUUCUCCCUGUGUCAGCGUGGGUUUCCUCCAGGUGCUCUGACAUGUUCUCACUGUGUCGGUGUGGGUUUCCUCCAGGUGCUCUGACAUGUUCUCCCUGUGUCAGCGUGGGUUUCCUCCAGGUGCUCCAGCUUCCUCCCACAGUCCAAAGACAUGCAGGUUAAUUGAUAACUCUAAAUUGUCCGUAGGUGUGAAUGUGAGUGUGAAUGGUUGUCUGUCUCUAUGUGUCAGCCCUGUGAUAGUCUGGUGAGCUGUCCAGGUUGAACCCUGCCUCUCACCCAGUGUCAGCUGGGAUAGGCUCCACCCCCCUUGACCCCCAAAACCUUGUCACUUUAUUGCUGUGCCAAAUUUGAAAUUCCCUUGAUGCGUUCUUGGGAAAUCAUGUUCACAAACAUGGGACCGAUGGACUUGCGUACAGACACCCCACAAACAUAAUGCCUCCAGCCUCGGCUAAAAACCACACAGCCGUCCUCCCUUAAAAUCCUGCAUCAUUAUUUAUACAGGUUGUCGGGGUGAUGCAGGUGUUUUGCAGAUAUUGACUUAUUAAUGAACUUUUCUGCUGAUUAGGUUUUUUAAAACAUCUUAACGUGUGAUAAGUCCAACAGUUAUUAAUGCACCCUGGUGUCAUGAUGUGUUUCCUGUACCAGCUGGAGAGGUGCUUUUAUUAACAGGUGAUGUUCAGGGUUCACAUUCCUCAGAAGAGACUCAACAUCAAGAGGUAAAUGCAGCUGUAACUCUGACUCCGGUUUGCGUUCCUCCUUCUUCCUUUUCAAUCUGUUUGCAUUCUGAAACUUCAGUUUACUGUAACUCCCACAGACACUCUUUCUCCCCUCGUGUCAACAUUUGCCCCUGCAGCACUUUAUUUUCUCAGUGUCCACUCCCCCAUCGUCUUCAUCUCUCCACCUCGUGCCUCGCUAUGUUUGAAUUAAGCCCAACAGACUGACAGGAAGUUUGGAGUGAGGCCUCGUCGAUGUAGGUAGGGAAACGAUUCCCGGUGCAAAAAGCCAUGAAUGACCUUUCUCCUGAAUCAGCGCUGCGUAAACAUGCCAGCUGAGAAAGUUUUUCCUUCCACAGAUUUCACAGUUUUCACAGUGGGCAUCUGCGAGUAAUUAUUCACAAUCAGUGACUGAGUUUUUUGGAGUUUGUAGCACAUUAACAGGGACUGAGAGAAAGGAUUGUUUCCUCUGUGUUUUGGCGCUGCGUCCUCACUGAGCUGGUUCAGCUUAAACGAACAUUCAAUUCUGGUGUCUUGUUUCAGAGUGAACGAGGGAAAAACAAUGAUGUAAAUCCUGUUUUAUGUUUCAGCUGACAACCGAACAAAAAGAUACCUGAAUGAGAAAAAUUAAAAAGUGAGUCUGCGUCUUUUAAAAACACAAAACAGAGUUUAAACCAGACUCAGCAGAGUAAACAGGCUGUCUGGUCUCCUGGAGAAAUGUUGGCACCGUCAGUUCCUGCAAACCACAGGAACAUUCCAUACGUAUCAUAUCAAGCUUUCUGAAUUGAUGUAGUACAUGAGCUGUCUUCCAGAGGUGGAGGGGAUGGUGGAUGGCGUGACACUUACGAGUCACCUGCCAAACUGCAGACAGCUGUACGAGACCAACAAGCAACAAAACCAGCUGGGUUUUUUUGAGAAUCAUCACCGCAUUUCCAGCAGCUUUUGAGACUGGAAACAAAAGUGUUUUUUAGCGACCUUUCAACAUUUCUGCUACAAACAAAUGUAACUUGUCCUUUGUUGCCGACUGAAGAGACCUCUGCAGAUAAUUCAGCUCCCACUAAAAACCUCCUCAACAUGUAGAACUUAAAUGACUAGAGAAAAAGGUGAGCACACAUUUGCAGGUGCCAAGCUUGCAGCUCAUCUGACACGCUGAACAGCGUCGGAGAAACACUAGCCCUUUUUAGAUAGGAGUUGUGCAAAUUUGCAGGAAAGCCCAAUCAGUCUUUUUUCAGCAUUGGCAGUAUAAAAACAAAAUCGGGGAGUGCAGCAAAAUGCCGCCUACCUACUUUUGUUUAUACAGAAUGUGCCUUUUUCGGGGCAAUGGGGGGCGUGAGCAAGUAACAAAACGUGUAGCUCAGCGUGUGACGUAAACAGUGACGUGGGAGGGAAGCCACGGCUGGUCAGUCCUUCGGUGAUUCUCUCGUAAGUCGGCCCGUCCUUCACCGUCCCCGUCAUCUGACGGUUAAUGGCCUCUUCGUUUGCGAGGACAAGGAGGGCGCGCAAUUCCUUGUCUCCCCAGUUGCUCAUCUUUACAGUGUCUGUCAGGUUUGUGUUUCCCUCUUGCUACUAGCUGCUCGCUAAUUCCUGCUAUCAGCUGUUUCCUGUUUAUCCACCGCCAGUGGCUCACACGUGCAGCGUCAUCAACAGCUCCUCCCACAAGUCGUCAACAGCUCCUCCCACAAGUCAUCAACAGCUCUUCCCACAAGUCAUCAACAGCUCCUCCCACAAGUCAUCAACAGCUCCUCCCGUGGCAGAAGGCCGCCUUGGUCUGUUUAAACUAAAAGGUUCCACCAAUAUGUCUACCCUACGAGGCGGAAAAUUGGGCACCUCGGAUCAACUCGCCAAUCCGGCUCUGUGUGUCUAAACGCUCGCAGCUUGCCGGCAAAACGGCCCAACAUUCACCGAAAAUCUGGCAGUGUAAAAGGGGCUACUGAUGGUCAGAGAACAUUUGAUUUGAUUAGUUAAAACCUCCUGAACAAUAAACACUGAAGGAAAUUCAGCCGGGAGAAGUUUCAGCUGGUUGCAAUCAGCAAGCCUCACAGCUAGAUGAGACUAAAUCCCCUACAGUGCAUCUCACACACUGUUCCUUUAAACCUACAUUAAGUUAUUUUUUUGUCAUUUGGGGGCAGCAAAGACAAGCUGUAAACUCAACACUGACAACUCAGUCCAAUAUUCACUUACUUUUCACUCUGUUUUUGGUCUCCUCCUCCUCCUGAGGCAGAUCUUUGUCUCUUCAGCUGCUUAAUGCUUCACCAAGUUCACCAGCUAGUCUCUCACUGUGUGUGUUUGCUACUGAGCACAAAGUGCACUGUGGCUUUUUACAGCUUGCUCACUGACAACAGAUACUGCUACUGUAGCUGGAAGACUUAUGAAUUAUUAGGGGGAAAAGGCUGUUGUGUGUGUGCAGUCACUGUGAAGGAGAAACUGCACUUCAGCUGGUUGAUACUGAACAUGUUGGUUUAUCAGGUUCACUGUGUGAGUUCCUGAAAACCUUUAAAAUGUACAGCACACAUUGGUGCAUGAGAAAAUCAAUGAUAGUAAGUGUGUCACCGACAUGACUGACAUCAUUAGGCUGUUAGAGUGUGUGUGUGUGUGUGUGAGCGGAGUGUGUGUGC
Long non-coding RNA from Epinephelus fuscoguttatus (brown-marbled grouper), 4522 nucleotides. RefSeq lists it as uncharacterized. NCBI's taxonomy places the organism in Eukaryota, Metazoa, Chordata, Actinopteri, Perciformes, Serranidae. The record is from RefSeq and is a predicted model, not a curated record. The transcript has 5 exons.